This 364-nucleotide ribosomal RNA is filed under the name uncultured eukaryote. RNAcentral's name for it is "partial 18S ribosomal RNA". It matches the Rfam family "Eukaryotic small subunit ribosomal RNA", at positions 592 to 976 of the family's 1831-position model. The record is from RNAcentral.
CGCAAGUGUAUUCCUAUACUGUUGCGUUUAAAUAGCUCGUAGUUGGAUCUGCGUGUUUAGCGCGCGGUGCUGCUUCUUGCAGUUACUGUGACGCGACACUGUACGUCGACUUCAUGCUCAUGAGUAUGUAGAUGACAAGUUUACUUUGAACAAAUCAGAGUGCUCAAAACGGGCGUUUCGCUCGAAUGUUCUUGCAUGGAAUAAUAGAAUAGGACCUUGCGUUCUAUUUUGUUGGUUUUCGGGACGCGGGUAAUGAUUAAGAGGGACAGACGGGGGCAUUUGUACUGCGACGUGAGAGGUGAAAUUCUUGGAUCGUCGCAAGACAGACUACUGCGAAAGCAUUUGCCAAGAAUGUUUUCAUUAA